This is a long non-coding RNA of Lolium rigidum, 424 nucleotides long. RefSeq lists it as uncharacterized. Lineage: Eukaryota; Viridiplantae; Streptophyta; Magnoliopsida; Poales; Poaceae. The record is from RefSeq and is a predicted model, not a curated record. The transcript has 4 exons.
CUGUGAUCAAGGGCAAGGACAAACCCACAGGGGAGCUUCAAAGUUCUAUUUCUCACCUAAAGAAGAUUCAGAAGAUCAGUAAACCAAAGGUGAAGACUGGAGACGUACUGCCAGUGGCGUCAUCACCUCCCAGCAAAAAGACAAAAGGCAACAAGGGGAGAGCCCCUGCACAUGGAUCCUUUGGACCAGAGUUCUGGUGAGCUGCUACCAAAUGUAAAGACUGGAGACGUGCUGCCUUGGGCAUCAUCACCUCCUAACAAAAAGACAAUGAAGGUAACAAGGGAAGAGCCACUACACAUAUAACACUGGUGGAUCUUACAUGUGUUGCACCUAUCAGGCAUCGUGAAUUGGGAUGAUAUAACUAAUAUUGCUGCUACCAUUUAUAUAUACAGCAAAGAAACACCAAAAGUGUUCUCACUUUUUA